RNAcentral lists this ribosomal RNA (1347 nucleotides) under uncultured bacterium. RNAcentral's name for it is "partial 16S ribosomal RNA". It matches the Rfam family "Bacterial small subunit ribosomal RNA", at positions 28 to 1381 of the family's 1533-position model. The record is from RNAcentral.
GACGAACGCUCGCGGCGUGCUUAACACAUGCAAGUCGAACGGAAAGGCCCUGCUUUUGUGGGGUGCUCGAGUGGCGAACGGGUGAGUAACACGUGAGUAACCUGCCCUUGACUUUGGGAUAACUUCAGGAAACUGGGGCUAAUACCGGAUAGGAGCUCCUGCUGCAUGGUGGGGGUUGGAAAGUUUCGGCGGUUGGGGAUGGACUCGCGGCUUAUCAGCUUGUUGGUGGGGUAGUGGCUUACCAAGGCUUUGACGGGUAGCCGGCCUGAGAGGGUGACCGGCCACAUUGGGACUGAGAUACGGCCCAGACUCCUACGGGAGGCAGCAGUGGGGAAUAUUGCACAAUGGGCGGAAGCCUGAUGCAGCAACGCCGCGUGCGGGAUGACGGCCUUCGGGUUGUAAACCGCUUUCGCCUGUGACGAAGCGUGAGUGACGGUAAUGGGUAAAGAAGCACCGGCUAACUACGUGCCAGCAGCCGCGGUGAUACGUAGGGUGCGAGCGUUGUCCGGAUUUAUUGGGCGUAAAGGGCUCGUAGGUGGUUGAUCGCGUCGGAAGUGUAAUCUUGGGGCUUAACCCUGAGCGUGCUUUCGAUACGGGUUGACUUGAGGAAGGUAGGGGAGAAUGGAAUUCCUGGUGGAGCGGUGGAAUGCGCAGAUAUCAGGAGGAACACCAGUGGCGAAGGCGGUUCUCUGGGCCUUUCCUGACGCUGAGGAGCGAAAGCGUGGGGAGCGAACAGGCUUAGAUACCCUGGUAGUCCACGCUGUAAACGGUGGGUACUAGGUGUGGGGUCCAUUCCACGGGUUCCGUGCCGUAGCUAACGCUUUAAGUACCCCGCCUGGGGAGUACGGCCGCAAGGCUAAAACUCAAAGGAAUUGACGGGGCCCCGCACAAGCGGCGGAGCAUGCGGAUUAAUUCGAUGCAACGCGUAGAACCUUACCUGGGUUUGACAUGGAUCGGGAGUGCUCAGAGAUGGGUGUGCCUCUUUUGGGGUCGGUUCACAGGUGGUGCAUGGCUGUCGUCAGCUCGUGUCGUGAGAUGUUGGGUUAAGUCCCGCAACGAGCGCAACCCUUGUUCACUGUUGCCAGCACGUUAUGGUGGGGACUCAGUGGAGACCGCCGGGGUCAACUCGGAGGAAGGUGGGGAUGACGUCAAGUCAUCAUGCCCCUUAUGUCCAGGGCUUCACGCAUGCUACAAUGGCUGGUACAGAGAGUGGCGAGCCUGUGAGGGUGAGCGAAUCUCGGAAAGCCGGUCUCAGUUCGGAUUGGGGUCUGCAACUCGACCUCAUGAAGUCGGAGCCGCUAGUAAUCGCAGAUCAGCAACGCUGCGGUGAAUACGUUCCCGAGGGCU